Molecule: long non-coding RNA, 233 nt
Filed under: Capsicum annuum
Lineage: Eukaryota; Viridiplantae; Streptophyta; Magnoliopsida; Solanales; Solanaceae
Description: long non-coding RNA (CANN_LNC013719)
Source: RNAcentral
CUUUUGUCUUUGUCACUCCAUAAUGCCAUAGUAAUGAAGCAUAGUGUGCACAUUGAAUUCCAGCAUCAAAAUCACAUGAAUGGACUUGCUGCCCUUCACUUAAUAUUUCUGCAUAAGCAGGCACAAAAAUUCCCCAGUCCCUGAUUUAAAGAAAAAACGAUGAAGUAACAUUCGUUCAAUAAUUAUAACACCGUUAUACAUGUAAAAAAUAAAAUAAAAUUUAUUUAAACGGU